Fukomys damarensis (Damara mole-rat) is the source of this 906-nucleotide long non-coding RNA. The record is from Ensembl. Lineage: Eukaryota; Metazoa; Chordata; Mammalia; Rodentia; Bathyergidae.
UGACAACCAUGCUUCUGCGCCUGCUCAUUACACAGGCCAGCCACUAGACUGGGUGGGGUUGGGGCCAGAAAUGAGAAAUCAGACAACCUGACAUGGUUGACAUGUCACCUUGGUAUAGUGCCCCCAGCGUGUGGAUGCAAGACCAAUACAUGCCCAUGGGCAGCUAACUAGUGGCUAGGGGACCUACAGUUGUGCUCUAGGGCAGAGAUUCUGUCAGCACCCGAGAGAAAAAGCAAGUAUCCACUGGCAAGCACUGGGGUCCUGUGUAGGAAGCACUACAGGAGACUUGCAAGCAGAAUAUGACUAUCCACAGAUCUCAGUUCUGCUGUUUGCUAAAGAAUAAUAACUGAACUUUAAGAAAACUGCUCAACAUAUUAAGCUGGACACAUAGCUCUCAAUCCUACAAGAAAUCAUCAUCAUCUCAGGCGUCUGCCAGAAACUACAGAGGCCAAAGAAAGUGAGCACUGCUGUGCCCACACCUGGGCCAUGCCAUGUUUUUUUUACACACCUGGUAGACUCCACAAGAGUGUUUUACAGAGGCUUUGGGUUUGGAUUGACUUUUCAGGCACCUCUGUCCAGGCAGGUGCUCAGGACUGUAACCCAAUCCUGGCUCACUGCAGGCUCCAGGACAGGAUGGGAACCAACAGCUCACAGAAGCACAGAAGAGAAAGCAGUUAUCAUCAAAUACUGCAGAACAUCCAGUUGACAACUGACAGCAGUUUUCUCUUCGACUAUAAACAAGAAAAAGAAUGAUGACAACAUGUGAGAAAGUGUGCCACCAGGAACUUUCAAUAAAGGAGCAGGAAGCCACCAGCAAACCAGCUCAAAACUUCAAAUUCAGCUGGGGAAAGUAAGAGCAGGAAUAUUAAUAGGCAUCCAGAUGUGUGAGGUUCACAGAGAGACACA